ACUGCUCAGUAACACGUGGAUAACCUGCCCUUGGGUCCGGCAUAACCCCGGGAAACUGGGGAUAAUUCCGGAUAACGCAUAUAUGCUGGAAUGCUUUAUGCGUAAAAUGGAUUCGUCUGCCCAAGGAUGGGUCUGCGGCCUAUCAGGUAGUAGUGGGUGUAAUGUACCUACUAGCCGACAACGGGUACGGGUUGUGAGAGCAAGAGCCCGGAGAUGGAUUCUGAGACAUGAAUCCAGGCCCUACGGGGCGCAGCAGGCGCGAAAACUUUACAAUGCGGGAAACCGUGAUAAGGGGACACCGAGUGCCAGCAUCAUAUGCUGGCUGUCCAGGUGUGUAAAAUACACCUGUUAGCAAGGGCCGGGCAAGACCGGUGCCAGCCGCCGCGGUAACACCGGCGGCCCGAGUGGUGAUCGUGAUUAUUGGGUCUAAAGGGUCCGUAGCCGGUUUGGUCAGUCCUCCGGGAAAUCUGACGGCUUAACCGUUAGGCUUUCGGGGGAUACUGCCAGGCUUGGAACCGGGAGAGGUAAGAGGUACUACAGGGGUAGGAGUGAAAUCUUGUAAUCCCUGUGGGACCACCUGUGGCGAAGGCGUCUUACCAGAACGGGUUCGACGGUGAGGGACGAAAGCUGGGGGCACGAACCGGAUUAGAUACCCGGGUAGUCCCAGCCGUAAACGAUGCUCGCUAGGUGUCAGGCAUGGCGCGACCGUGUCUGGUGCCGCAGGGAAGCCGUGAAGCGAGCCACCUGGGAAGUACGGCCGCAAGGCUGAAACUUAAAGGAAUUGGCGGGGGAACAC
RNAcentral lists this ribosomal RNA (796 nucleotides) under uncultured Methanosarcinaceae archaeon. RNAcentral describes it as "bacterial SSU rRNA". It matches the Rfam family "Archaeal small subunit ribosomal RNA", at positions 85 to 879 of the family's 1478-position model. The record is from RNAcentral. Lineage: Archaea; Methanobacteriati; Methanobacteriota; Methanomicrobia; Methanosarcinales; Methanosarcinaceae.